UAGAUUCCCCUCGCUGCAUUACCUGUUUUAUACCGUACUGAGAGGAAUGAAAACUGGAUCCGACUCAAGGACCCAAGAACAGGAAAACCAACCUACCCAACAGAUAUAGAUUGUAACCAGUGCAAUCGAUCGGACGUCCAGGAUUUUACCAAAAAGUGCAUUAACCUUGGCAUCCAAUACAUUGGGCUAUGCUGCGGGAACGCCCCUCAUUUCACCCGAACCAUGGCCGAAACACUCGGGAGGAAACCCCGAGCGUCCCGGUAUGCUCCCGACAUGUCUCUCAGCGUGGUCUUCGGGACAAGUGACAAGAUAAAAGGGAAUUGCUCCAAGCUCUACACCAUAGGAUCAUCAAAGCCAUGUGAAAAUGGCAAUACUACUAUUGAUAACAACCAAUGAUUUCCAUCCUCAAAUCUCUCGGCCAUCUCUUCUCAAUCCCCAACCCUACCAUCGCUGUAUUGUUUUUCCAUAAUAUAUAAACGAUGAGUUUGACUCUAAA
Lytechinus pictus (painted urchin) is the source of this 496-nucleotide long non-coding RNA. RefSeq lists it as uncharacterized. NCBI's taxonomy places the organism in Eukaryota, Metazoa, Echinodermata, Echinoidea, Temnopleuroida, Toxopneustidae. The record is from RefSeq and is a predicted model, not a curated record. The transcript has 2 exons.